RNAcentral lists this ribosomal RNA (450 nucleotides) under uncultured bacterium. RNAcentral's name for it is "bacterial SSU rRNA". It matches the Rfam family "Bacterial small subunit ribosomal RNA", at positions 29 to 524 of the family's 1533-position model. The record is from RNAcentral.
AACGAACGCUGGCGGCAUGCCUAACACAUGCAAGUCGAACGAGACCUUCGGGUCUAGUGGCGCACGGGUGCGUAACGCGUGGGAAUCUGCCCUUGGGUUCGGAAUAACAGUUAGAAAUGACUGCUAAUACCGGAUAAUGUCUUCGGACCAAAGAUUUAUCGCCUUUAGAUGGGCCCGCGUAAGAUUAGCUAGUUGGUGGGGUAAAGGCCUACCAAGGCGACGAUCUUUAGCUGGUCUGAGAGGAUGAUCAGCCACACUGGGACUGAGACACGGCCCAGACUCCUACGGGAGGCAGCAGUGGGAAUAUUGGACAAUGGGCGAAAGCCUGAUCCAGCAAUGCCGCGUGAGUGAUGAAGGCCUUAGGGUUGUAAAGCUCUUUUACCCGAGAUGAUAAUGACAGUACCGGGAGAAUAAGCCCCGGCUAACCUCCGUGCCAGCAGCCGCGGUAAU